Molecule: unclassified non-coding RNA, 160 nt
Filed under: uncultured Calycina
Lineage: Eukaryota; Fungi; Ascomycota; Leotiomycetes; Helotiales; Hyaloscyphaceae
Description: sequence contains ITS1
Source: RNAcentral
CAGAGUUCAUGCCCUUCGGGGUAGACCUCCCACCCUUUGUAUACCUUGCCUUUUGUUGCUUUGGCGGGCCGCCACUCGGCCGUCGGCUUCGGCCGGCGCGCGCCCGCCAGAGACCCCAAACCCUGUAUUACAGUGUCGUCCGAGUACUAUAUAAUAGUUA